Molecule: long non-coding RNA, 347 nt
Organism: Vombatus ursinus (common wombat)
Lineage: Eukaryota; Metazoa; Chordata; Mammalia; Diprotodontia; Vombatidae
Exons: 2
Source: RefSeq, a predicted model, not a curated record
GUCCGCCGCGCGCGUCGAGCCCGCUCGGCCGCCCCUCCGUCGGAGCAGAGGCCCUGUAAGCGCAGUCGGUAAAUAAGCUUGUAUCCGAGCAGCCUGCCGAUGGCCUCCACUCAGACUUCCCUGCACCCUGGAGGAGAGGGCAGGUGCAGGAGGAGGGGGCAGCCCUCCCUUGAUCGGGUGAGCCAGCUGUCCAACCGGGAACCGCCUCCCUUCAAGCAAGCCCUCAGAAGGACCGACCUGCUUUGUACUUUGAUGUAGCAGCCGACGGCUGAGCCUGCAGCCCGCCCCCCCGGGCAGUGUUUAAGAAAAAAAAAAAAAACCCAGUAAAAAAAAAAGUUUGACAACCG